UUGGAGGGCAAGUCUGGUGCCAGCAGCCGCGGUAAUUCCAGCUCCAAUAGCGUAUAUUAAAGUUGUCGCAGUUAAAAAGCUCGUAGUUGAACCUCGGGAUCAAUGGAUCGGUCAUGCCAUCGGUAUGUACUGGUCUCAUUGGUUCUCACCUUCUAAGGAACCAUGAUGUCAUUCAGUUGAUGUUGUGGGGAAUUAGGACUGUUACCUUGAAAAAAUUAGAGUGUUUAAAGCAGGCUAACGCUUGAAUACAUUAGCAUGGAAUAAUGAAAUAGGACAUCGCAUUCUAUUUUGUUGGUUUCUAGGAUCGAUGUAAUGAUUAAUAGGGAUAGUUGGGGGCAUUAGUAUUCAAUUGUCAGAGGUGAAAUUCUUGGAUUUAUUGAAGACUAACUACUGCGAAAGCAUUUGCCAGGGAUGUUUUCAUUAAUCAAGAACGAAAGUUAGGGGAUCGAAGACGAUCAGAUACCGUCGUAGCCUUAACCAUAAACUAUGCCGACUAGGGAUCGGAUGAUGUUGAUUUUUUAAUGACUCAUUCGGCACCUUACGGGAAAC
RNAcentral lists this ribosomal RNA (549 nucleotides) under uncultured Glomus. Its description in RNAcentral is "SSU rRNA". It matches the Rfam family "Eukaryotic small subunit ribosomal RNA", at positions 548 to 1098 of the family's 1831-position model. Lineage: Eukaryota; Fungi; Glomeromycota; Glomeromycetes; Glomerales; Glomeraceae. The record is from RNAcentral.